RNAcentral lists this ribosomal RNA (1146 nucleotides) under uncultured Nostoc sp. RNAcentral's name for it is "bacterial SSU rRNA". It matches the Rfam family "Bacterial small subunit ribosomal RNA", at positions 374 to 1533 of the family's 1533-position model. The record is from RNAcentral. Lineage: Bacteria; Bacillati; Cyanobacteriota; Cyanophyceae; Nostocales; Nostocaceae.
GGCGAAAGCCUGACGGAGCAAUACCGCGUGAGGGAGGAAGGCUCUUGGGUCGUAAACCUCUUUUCUCAGGGAAGAACACAAUGACGGUACCUGAGGAAUAAGCAUCGGCUAACUCCGUGCCAGCAGCCGCGGUAAUACGGAGGAUGCAAGCGUUAUCCGGAAUGAUUGGGCGUAAAGCGUCCGCAGGUGGCUGUGUAAGUCUGCUGUUAAAGAGUCUAGCUCAACUAGAUAAGAGCAGUGGAAACUACACGGCUAGAGUACGUUCGGGGCAGAGGGAAUUCCUGGUGUAGCGGUGAAAUGCGUAGAGAUCAGGAAGAACACCGGUGGCGAAGGCGCUCUGCUAGGCCGUAACUGACACUGAGGGACGAAAGCUAGGGGAGCGAAUGGGAUUAGAUACCCCAGUAGUCCUAGCCGUAAACGAUGGAUACUAGGCGUGGCUUGUAUCGACCCGAGCCGUGCCGUAGCUAACGCGUUAAGUAUCCCGCCUGGGGAGUACGCCGGCAACGGUGAAACUCAAAGGAAUUGACGGGGGCCCGCACAAGCGGUGGAGUAUGUGGUUUAAUUCGAUGCAACGCGAAGAACCUUACCAAGGCUUGACAUGUCGCGAAUCUUCUCGAAAGGGAAGAGUGCCUUCGGGAGCGCGAACACAGGUGGUGCAUGGCUGUCGUCAGCUCGUGUCGUGAGAUGUUGGGUUAAGUCCCGCAACGAGCGCAACCCUCGUUUUUAGUUGCCAGCAUUAAGUUGGGCACUCUAGAGAGACUGCCGGUGACAAACCGGAGGAAGGUGGGGAUGACGUCAAGUCAGCAUGCCCCCUACGCCUUGGGCUACACACGUACUACAAUGCUCCGGACAGAGGGCAGCAAGCAUGCGAAUGCAAGCAAAUCCCGUAAACCGGAGCUCAGUUCAGAUCGCAGGCUGCAACUCGCCUGCGUGAAGGAGGAAUCGCUAGUAAUUGCAGGUCAGCAUACUGCAGUGAAUUCGUUCCCGGGCCUUGUACACACCGCCCGUCACACCAUGGAAGCUGGUAGUGCCCGAAGUCAUUACUCCAACCUUUCGGGGAGGAGGAUGCCUAAGGCAGGACUGGUGACUGGGGUGAAGUCGUAACAAGGUAGCCGUACCGGAAGGUGUGGCUGGAUCACCUCCUUU